GAGUUUGAUCCUGGCUCAGGAUGAACGCUGGCGGCGUGCUUAACACAUGCAAGUCGAACGGAGUGCUCAUGACAGAGGAUUCGUCCAAUGGAUUGAGUUACUUAGUGGCGGACGGGUGAGUAACGCGUGAGUAACCUGCCCUGGAGUGGGGGACAACAGUUGGAAACGACUGCUAAUACCGCAUAAGCCCACGAUCCGGCAUCGGAUUGAGGGAAAAGGAUUUAUUCGCUUCAGGAUGGACUCGCGUCCAAUUAGCUAGUUGGUGAGGUAACGGCCCACCAAGGCGACGAUUGGUAGCCGGACUGAGAGGUUGAACGGCCACAUUGGGACUGAGACACGGCCCAGACUCCUACGGGAGGCAGCAGUGGGGGAUAUUGCACAAUGGGGGAAACCCUGAUGCAGCGACGCCGCGUGGAGGAAGAAGGUUUUCGGAUUGUAAACUCCUGUCGUUAGGGACGAUAAUGACGGUACCUAACAAGAAAGCACCGGCUAACUACGUGCCAGCCGCCGCGGUAAUAC
This 519-nucleotide ribosomal RNA is filed under the name uncultured bacterium. RNAcentral describes it as "bacterial SSU rRNA". It matches the Rfam family "Bacterial small subunit ribosomal RNA", at positions 9 to 526 of the family's 1533-position model. The record is from RNAcentral.